This 391-nucleotide unclassified non-coding RNA is filed under the name soil metagenome. RNAcentral's name for it is "partial contains 5.8S ribosomal RNA, internal transcribed spacer 2, and large subunit ribosomal RNA". The stretch from base 1 to 122 matches the Rfam family "5.8S ribosomal RNA", at positions 35 to 154 of the family's 154-position model. The record is from RNAcentral.
GAUGAAGAACGCAGCGAAAUGCGAUACUUGGUGUGAAUUGCAGAAUCCCGUGAACCAUCGAGUCUUUGAACGCAAGUUGCGCCCGAAGCCAUUAGGCCGAGGGCACGCCUGCCUGGGCGUCACACGUCGUUGCCCCCCCAUCUACUCCUUCGGGAUUGCGGGGGGCGGAUGAUGGCCUCCCGUGCGCCUCGUCGCGCGGUUGGCAUAAAUACCAAGUCCUCGGCGACGCACGCCACGACAAUCGGUGGUUGCGAAACCUCGGUUGCCCGUCGUGUGCGGUCGUCGCGCAUCGAGGGCUCGAAAAAAUUGCCGGGCUCCGGCUCGGCUUUCAACGCGACCCCAAGUCAGGCGGGGUUACCCGCUGAAUUUAAGCAUAUCAAUAAGCGGAGGA